Molecule: non-coding RNA, 45 nt
Filed under: Trichobilharzia regenti
Lineage: Eukaryota; Metazoa; Platyhelminthes; Trematoda; Strigeidida; Schistosomatidae
Source: RNAcentral
AUCCAGAUGACGAGUCCCAAAUAGGACAAAAUGCACAUCCUGGAU